This 1352-nucleotide unclassified non-coding RNA is filed under the name uncultured Neocallimastigales. RNAcentral's name for it is "partial contains internal transcribed spacer 1, 5.8S ribosomal RNA, internal transcribed spacer 2, and large subunit ribosomal RNA". The stretch from base 595 to 1352 matches the Rfam family "Eukaryotic large subunit ribosomal RNA", at positions 1 to 617 of the family's 3401-position model. Lineage: Eukaryota; Fungi; Neocallimastigomycota; Neocallimastigomycetes; Neocallimastigales. The record is from RNAcentral.
AAAAUAAUCCUACCCUUUGUGAAUUUUGUUUGUCUGAAUAAUUUUUUUUUUUAAAAAAUUAUUGGAGUCUUUCCCUUUAGAGUUUGCUUUUGAGUUUGUAAAAGAAUUCGAAAACAUCUAAAGGGGAUGGUCAAUAAUUUUUUUGAAAAAAGACAUUUUUUAAAAUUAAACUUUUUGUAUUCAUUUGUCUAAAAAUUAUUUUUAUAAUAUAAAAACAACUUUUGACAAUGGAUCUCUUGGUUCUCGCAACGAUGAAGAACGCAGCAAAAUGCGAUAAGUAGUGUGAAUUGCAGAAUACGUGAAUCAUCGAAUCUUUGAACGCAUAUUGCACUUUUUUAGUUUACUAAAAAAGUAUGUCUGUUUGAGUAUCAGUAAAAUAUUCUCAUAAAAAUCAUUGUGUAUUUUUAUGGUUAUGAGUGUUUUACAACGAUACAAGUUGUUUCACUUUAAAUUUUUUUUUAAUAUUGAAAUUUUUCUAAUUUUAAUAAUUAAAAUUGGAUAAAAUUUUCCCGUCAAAAGGAAUAACCUAAACAAUUUUAAACGAUUAAUUUUAGCAAAAUUUUCGUAAAAAGGAAAAUUUUUAUUAAAAUAACUUGAUCUCAAAUCAGAUAAGAGUACCCGCUGAACUUAAGCAUAUCAAUAAGCGGAGGAAAAGAAACUAACAAGGAUUCCCUUAGUAACGGCGAGUGAAGCGGGAAGAGCUCAAAUUUGAAAUCUUCAAGGUUUUACCUUGACGAAUUGUAGUUUAAAGAAGUGUUUUCUGCUGAAGUUUUGGUAAAAGUUCUUUGGAAUAGGACAUCAUAGAGGGUGAGAAUCCCGUAUUUGACCAUUAUUUUCAGCUUUGUGAUACACUUUCAAAGAGUCGGAUUGUUUGGGAAUGCAGUCCAAAAUGGGUGGUAAAUUUCAUCUAAAGCUAAAUAUUGGCGAGAGACCGAUAGCGAACAAGUACCGUGAGGGAAAGAUGAAAAGAACUUUGAAAAGAGAGUUAAACAGUACGUGAAAUUGUCAAAAGGGAAGCGUUUGACACCAGUGUUGUUUUCUCGAAAAUCAAUUAAAAAUGGCUCGAUUUUGUAUUGCUGAGACCUUAAAAGCUCACUGUACAUUUUUCGUGUCUUUUUUAAUGCACUUUUCGUUUAACAAGUCAACAUCAGUUUCUUUUGUUGUAAAAGGGUCAUUGGAAGGUGGCUUUCUUUUCGGAGAAAGUGUUUAUAGCCUUUGGCCUCUGCAAUCGAAGAGACUGAGGUCUGCAGCGUAGACUCUUCGGGGUUAGAUACAUUUGUGCUAAGUUAUAGCUUUUUAUAGACAACUUGUUGACUAUAAUUAGUCUUGUAGCUUACUCGCUUAUGCUAUUU